Molecule: long non-coding RNA, 1338 nt
Organism: Acipenser ruthenus (sterlet)
Lineage: Eukaryota; Metazoa; Chordata; Actinopteri; Acipenseriformes; Acipenseridae
Exons: 5
Source: RefSeq, a predicted model, not a curated record
UUUUAUUAUUGGUUCUUUAGGACGAAGAAAGAAGUGCACGGUUGGGUCUGCCUUGGAUUUAAUGAUGCCGUGUUGUCUUAGAUUUGGUUAUUAAGAGGUGUGCUCCUAUUGAUUAAGUGCUCUACUACCUGGAGGCUGUGUUGAUGCUCAGGCAUCUACAAUGUGCUGGUGUGGUGAAGAAUAUGACACUUCAGGAAUGGUGUCUUCAGCAAAAGGUUUCUUCUGGCAGCAACACCAGCUUCUUCACUGGUGUGAAGAAUCACAAAACUGUGACACAACAAGAGGCCACUAUUUCACUUAAUGAAGACGAGGAGAGAUGGUUUGAUAUCUACUAUCAGUUUGUAAGAUCCACUUGAAGAAACCAGACCUGAAAACCAUCAGUAAAUCUGAUAAAGAUACAUUCUUCAUCUCCACAUCAGGGAAUGCAAUCUACAAUCCGUCCAAUGACCUGCAUAGGUUCCAUGACAACGCAUAUCUUCCUCCAGAUGAGAAACCCAGUGAUGAUGAGGAGCAGAGCCCCAGUCACAGAUCCAGCAAUGAGGCCAUCGUGGAAGUCAGGCUCCCAGUCUGUCAGAAACAGGAGAGAGUGCAGCAAAAGAUGAGCUCUUAAAAAAGUAUUUUGCUAUUUUUGAAUGCGAUAGAUCACAAGUAAAUGUAGAACAGUUAAUAUAACAAGAUUUCUUGGCCGUUGCCGUUGGUUUCGUUGCUUUCUCGGGUGAUUUCUUUUGGUUCCAUUUGGAAUUGGAAUUAACUGAAUACUUGUCAUUUAUUAAAUCCCCAUUUUAAUUACAACUCUGUGUUUACCCUCCAUAAAAAAAAGGCUCUGUUGUGAAAAUGUCCUUUCUUUGCAUAAAAACGAAAGCAAACCCUGUUUAACAUGUCUGGGAUUGCGUGGUUAAAAUGAUUCAAGUAAUCUGAGACAGUAGUUCUGCUCACUGAGGGCGUGUCUGUUGAAAAGGCGCAUUCCUGGACUGAGAGUUUCGACGAGGUCCGCUUUGAGUAUAUAUAAACUAGAGCCUUUGAACAAACAGCUACAUUUGGUUAGUAUAAUACUUUAGAAAGGAUUGUGAAAUCAUGUCUGGAUGCGGUAAGGGAGGUAAAGGAUUCAGAAAAGGGUGCGCUAAGCGUCAUUCCGAAGUACUCCGUGUUAACAUCCAGGGCAUCACCAAGCCCACUAUCCGCUGUCUGGCUCGCCGCGGAGCAGUGAAGCGAAUCUCCAGGCUGAUCUAUGAGGAGACCCACAGGGUGCUGAAGGUGUUCCUGGAGAAUGUGAUCUGCGAUGCCGUCACCUACACUGUACGCUCUGAAGCGCCAGGGUUCGGAGGUUAAUCUGGACAC